UACGUAGGAGGCUAGCGUUGUCCGGAAUCGUUGGGCGUAAAGCGCGUGUAGGCGGUCCGGUAAGUCCGCUGUGAAAGUCGGGGGCUCAACCCUCGGAUGCCGGUGGAUACUGUCGGGCUUGAGUACGGAAGAGGCGAGUGGAAUUCCUGGUGUAGCGGUGAAAUGCGCAGAUAUCAGGAGGAACACCAAUUGCGAAGGCAGCUCGCUGGGACGUUACUGACGCUGAGACGCGAAAGCGUGGGGAGCAAACAGG
This 253-nucleotide ribosomal RNA is filed under the name uncultured bacterium. RNAcentral's name for it is "partial 16S ribosomal RNA". It matches the Rfam family "Bacterial small subunit ribosomal RNA", at positions 524 to 776 of the family's 1533-position model. The record is from RNAcentral.